AAAAAAAUUAAAUUUUUUUCCAUUUCUCUUAUUCAUAUUAAUUAGUUUAGUUUGUUUAAUUAUUUUUCUAAUUUUAAGUGUAGGGAAAAUUAUUAUAGCUAAAAUUUUUUAUUAGUUAGACCAUUUCUUUUGACCCCAUUGACCCAAACUCUUGGCUUUGCCACUGAUGCUAAGUGAUUAUUCAUAUGAGGUAUUAGGAUUUAAGGUGAUCUUAUGUUAGUGUUCUUGAUUUUAUUUUUUGGCCAGAAGUCAAGCCUCACCAAUGCCAUUCAAAUAUUGAUGAUAGCAAGAUAUUGUUACUGGAUGUGGCAUUCAAAUUUUUUCUCCUUGAAGGGUAGAAUCUUAUUUUGAUGAUACCUCAAUCUUUUUCCCCCUUCACUGGUUUAAAUGUUUUCUCUUUCCUUAGAUUAGUUUUCACAAUUUAAGUGCCUUUUUAUGUUCUUAGGUUAUAAUGUUUUCUGCUGGAUGGAAUUUUCUUGUUAACUCAAGCUUUUGUCAUGCAUUCUCAAAAUUGAAAUUCUAUUCUUCUUCUAGUCUAUAUAUAUGAGGGAAAUAAAUUAUGCAAAGCAGGAUACGCCUACCAAAGCAUGGUGAUUUUGGAAGGGAAAAUCUUCUAAAGAGAAACAUCAUUCCAUUAUAUUUUGGGAUUUAUAAAUAGCUUUCUUCACCCUACUCAUUUUAAGAAACUUUACUUUCAUUGACUUUCUAUCUGAAUUUUCCCCUUUAAGCCAAAUUUCAUCAUGGCAUGAUCCAUUUAUGCGCAUCAUUUCAUUAGUAGUUAAGCUUGUGCAAAUCAUCAUUUCAAUAUCAGAUGGUAGUUGAUCUUAAUGCUGUUUAUAAUUAUAGAAAAGAUUACGAAAAUAUGUUAACUGUAGUACUGUACUUCAAUUAGAACUUAUGGGUUGGCUUUUUUAUUUUAAUUCAACAUGGGCUGGAUGUCAGUUUCAGACUUGACUGUGGUUGAUUAAGCUUUGGAAAAUAAAUGAUGCCUCCUAUGAGUGGAUGAGUUUACAUGGCUAAACCAGUUGUAUGUGCAGAUGUGUACAGGCAUAUGCAUUAUUAUGGUAUUAUUUACAUAAACUUCCAAUGGCAUGCAUACCACAUCACUUGUUUGUGCUGCAUUAAAUUCUUCUAUAAUCUCUUUUGCAAAAUUUGAAACAUUUCUUAUCUUCUCAUGCUCAACCCUUAUAUAUUCCCAGGAUUGGAUAGACAUCGAUUUUG
RNAcentral lists this unclassified non-coding RNA (1221 nucleotides) under Hevea brasiliensis (rubber tree). The record is from RNAcentral. Lineage: Eukaryota; Viridiplantae; Streptophyta; Magnoliopsida; Malpighiales; Euphorbiaceae.